This 412-nucleotide long non-coding RNA is filed under the name Rattus norvegicus (Norway rat). RNAcentral describes it as "long non-coding RNA NONRATT009214". The record is from RNAcentral. Lineage: Eukaryota; Metazoa; Chordata; Mammalia; Rodentia; Muridae.
UGCAGCCAUCUUGGGGCUUGUCUCCAGAGCCUGCCUGUGUGUCGGUAAACCGGUGAGAGAAACGCAAGGCAGUCCAACCCGGCACCUAAACUUAGAAUCGAAGAUAUAGACGGACGUUUGCAAGUGAGUUAUAGGUCACGAGGCUACUGAAGGGACUAUGACAGGAGGAGGAAGGCUUAAAGCGGCGAGAAGUGGAGGAGCUAAGGAAAACACGUGACAAGGGCAGAAUAAUUGCUUCCAAUGGCCCAGUGCUGGCAGGGAUGGAACCCGCUGGACGCGGGUGCACGACUGGACAGUUAUCGAAGCCGGGUCCUCAGGAUGCUGAGAUACAGUAAUUACGGAUUCUACUGUACUUCUGCACCAGUUCGAAAUUUUCCGUAAUAAAAAGUUAAAAACAAAUCACGUGCCAAAA